Mauremys mutica (yellowpond turtle) is the source of this 582-nucleotide long non-coding RNA. RefSeq lists it as uncharacterized. The transcript is spliced from 3 exons. Lineage: Eukaryota; Metazoa; Chordata; Testudines; Geoemydidae. The record is from RefSeq and is a predicted model, not a curated record.
ACUAAAGCUUACAUAAAUAUUCCCACACUAAUUAACCCAAACUAAAGAUAACUAUACAAUUUCUCCUGAAGAAGCACAAGUACAACAGAUAGGCACUGCUCUCUCUGUUCCAUCUCGCAGCCACAGGUGUUAAGGAACUGAUGGUCAUUGGCCUUGUUCCACCUUUUAUGCCCUCAGGUUGGUGGGAUAGUGCAGGCGAGGCCCAAUGGACACUACUAGCCAGAAUUCCAAUUUCAAGCGUAUGCACACCAGAAGUGGAAUACAUAUAGACAAGCACUCAAAGAAUGAAAAAAGCUUCCGCUGAAACGUUGCUGCAAUUCCAUCUUUUGCCCACCAGAGGGCACUGUGGCAAUAGGACAUAGCAGCAGCUCCGGGACAGCUAGGGAAGACAAAGAACCUGCCUUCUUCACAGCUUCUUCACAGCGCCUGUAAGAUCAGAAUUCCCUCAGGAGUACAAGUGUAUAUACAGCUGUGAUGGACAAACUGCACUUGGUUCCUUCUCAAUCCCAUGUAAAAAAAGAUUCUGAAGCAGGAGGGAAGGAGUGCAAGUAGUGGAGCAUCCAUGUGAACAUAAAUCUUGAA